AAUCAUCAUUGUUUAACAAUGCAGCCUUAUAAAUUUCAAAUUCUCUAUGCCCUAUCAAUACAUGCAUAUCUUUAGUUGUUACAAUUACUCUACUCUCAGGACCCAGCCAAGCUUGCUUUAUAGAAAGAGUCUGCUGACAGAGAAAGAGCUCAGACCAUUCUCUUACCUUUGUAAAUCUAUUUGUUCUCCUCCAUCGUCUCGGCGCCUUCAUUGUGAGUCUCAACUGCACCAUGAGUUCACUGCUUUCAUCUCCUCAUGCUGUUGAGUUUCCUUCCUCUGUUCUGUCAUCUCUGUCGUUGUGCCGUUGCUGCGUAAGAGUUGACUCACUAGCGUGUUUGCUUUUGUUUCGUCCUCACUGGCCUCAUUAUUCACUGUUUAUACACGAGAUUGUCUCCUCCUUGCUCUGUUCGUGCGACGUCAUCUAAGGUAGAAGCCUUGACCUUUGAUCUUGUUCUUCAAAGAAUAUAUGCUGUGAGAGUUGAUUAUUGGUGUAGGAGUUUCAUUUCGUUGGCUGUUAUUUUUCCACUGCACCCGCUGUCUUCUUUUCACCCUGUAUCGUCCACAUUCGAGUGGAUGCUGGGAUGAGAAAACAAGUCAUUAGAACUGCUAUUGGUGCUAUUGCGGGCUUGGUUUGUUAUUGCUGAUUCGGUUUCUCUCAUUUCUUCCAAGCUAUGUUCGGUUCUCCCUCUCCCCUGUCUAGCCAUCCGUUUCGUUUCCUUCCUCUUUGCUUUCCAUUGUGGUGAUCUAAGGUGAGGAAGCUUCACAUGGUAUCUUAUCUUGCUUUGUAUUUAUUAACUGAUGCUGAUCCCACUACUGACUUCUGAAGGGCAAUAUAGCUACACUGGAUGGAAAUUUUGGUUGGUACUAUUACUUUUGAUGUAAAUAUAUAAGUUGUAUGUAUUUUUGAUUUAAAAGAAAGAUUGGUUACUCCACAUAGAUUGUUGUUAGGAUUUUAUUUCAAUCUAUAUGUACUGUUACUAGCUGGAAGGAGCUAAGCUCUUAAUUGAUACUGUAUUUCGUGAAAAAUUUUGUUGUAGAAUUUUUGGAAGA
Molecule: long non-coding RNA, 1050 nt
Organism: Prosopis cineraria
Lineage: Eukaryota; Viridiplantae; Streptophyta; Magnoliopsida; Fabales; Fabaceae
Exons: 4
Source: RefSeq, a predicted model, not a curated record